Molecule: ribosomal RNA, 866 nt
Filed under: Alteromonas macleodii
Lineage: Bacteria; Pseudomonadati; Pseudomonadota; Gammaproteobacteria; Alteromonadales; Alteromonadaceae
Description: bacterial SSU rRNA
Rfam family: Bacterial small subunit ribosomal RNA
Source: RNAcentral
GGUAACAUAUAUACUAGCUUGCUAGAAGAUAGACGAGUGGCGGACGGGUGAGUAAUGCUUGGGAACUUGCCUUUGCGAGGGGGAUAACAGUUGGAAACGACUGCUAAUACCGCAUAAUGUCUUCGGACCAAACGGGGCUUCGGCUCCGGCGCAAAGAGAGGCCCAAGUGAGAUUAGCUAGUUGGUAAGGUAACGGCUUACCAAGGCGACGAUCUCUAGCUGUUCUGAGAGGAAGAUCAGCCACACUGGGACUGAGACACGGCCCAGACUCCUACGGGAGGCAGCAGUGGGGAAUAUUGCACAAUGGGGGAAACCCUGAUGCAGCCAUGCCGCGUGUGUGAAGAAGGCCUUCGGGUUGUAAAGCACUUUCAGUUGUGAGGAAAAGUUAGUAGUUAAUACCUGCUAGCCGUGACGUUAACAACAGAAGAAGCACCGGCUAACUCCGUGCCAGCAGCCGCGGUAAUACGGAGGGUGCGAGCGUUAAUCGGAAUUACUGGGCGUAAAGCGCACGCAGGCGGUUUGUUAAGCUAGAUGUGAAAGCCCCGGGCUCAACCUGGGAUGGUCAUUUAGAACUGGCAGACUAGAGUCUUGGAGAGGGGAGUGGAAUUCCAGGUGUAGCGGUGAAAUGCGUAGAUAUCUGGAGGAACAUCAGUGGCGAAGGCGACUCCCUGGCCAAAGACUGACGCUCAUGUGCGAAGUGUGGGUAGCGAACAGGAUUAGAUACCCUGGUAGUCCACACCGUAAACGCUGUCUACUAGCUGUGUGUGCCUUUAAGCGUGCGUAGCGAAGCUAACCGCUAAGUAGACCGCCUGGGGAGUACGGCCCGCCAAGGGUAAACUCAGAUGAUAUGACGGGGGCCCCGCACAA